CACGUAGGGUGCGAGCGUUGUCCGGAAUUAUUGGGCGUAAAGAGCUCGUAGGCGGUGUGUCGCGUCGGCCGUGAAAACCUGCAGCUUAACUGUGGGCGUGCGGUCGAUACGGGCAUCACUGGAGUUCGGCAGGGGAGACUGGAAUUCCUGGUGUAGCGGUGAAAUGCGUAGAUAUCGGAAGGAACAUCAGUGGCGAAAGCGACUUCCUGGACCAGUACCGACGUUCAGGCACGAAAGCGUGGGGAGCAAACAGG
Molecule: ribosomal RNA, 254 nt
Filed under: uncultured bacterium
Lineage: Bacteria
Description: partial 16S ribosomal RNA
Rfam family: Bacterial small subunit ribosomal RNA
Source: RNAcentral